This 237-nucleotide ribosomal RNA is filed under the name uncultured bacterium. Its description in RNAcentral is "partial 16S ribosomal RNA". It matches the Rfam family "Bacterial small subunit ribosomal RNA", at positions 524 to 761 of the family's 1533-position model. The record is from RNAcentral.
UACGAAGGGGGCUAGCGUUGUUCGGAAUUACUGGGCGUAAAGCGCACGUAGGCGGAUAUUUAAGUCAGGGGUGAAAUCCCAGAGCUCAACUCUGGAACUGCCUUUGAUACUGGGUAUCUCGAGUAUGGAAGAGGUGAGUGGAAUUCCGAGUGUAGAGGUGAAAUUCGUAGAUAUUCGGAGGAACACCAGUGGCGAAGGCGGCUCACUGGUCCAUUACUGACGUGAGGUGCGAAAGCG